This 74-nucleotide transfer RNA is filed under the name Ameiurus melas (black bullhead). RNAcentral describes it as "tRNA-Thr". It matches the Rfam family "tRNA". From Rfam's summary of the family: Transfer RNA (tRNA) molecules are approximately 80 nucleotides in length. The record is from RNAcentral. Lineage: Eukaryota; Metazoa; Chordata; Actinopteri; Siluriformes; Ictaluridae.
GGCACUGUGGCUUAGUUGGCUAAAGUACCUGUCUUGUAAACCGGAGAUCCUGGUUCAAAUCCCAGCGAGUGCCU